RNAcentral lists this transfer RNA (76 nucleotides) under Pseudomonadota bacterium. Its description in RNAcentral is "tRNA-Pro". It matches the Rfam family "tRNA". From Rfam's summary of the family: Transfer RNA (tRNA) molecules are approximately 80 nucleotides in length. Their secondary structure includes four short double-helical elements and three loops (D, anti-codon, and T loops). Further hydrogen bonds mediate the characteristic L-shaped molecular structure. tRNAs have two regions of fundamental functional importance: the anti-codon, which is responsible for specific mRNA codon recognition, and the 3' end, to which the tRNAs corresponding amino acid is attached (by aminoacyl-tRNA synthetases). tRNAs cope with the degeneracy of the genetic code in two manners: having more than one tRNA (with a specific anti-codon) for a particular amino acid; and 'wobble' base-pairing, i.e. permitting non-standard base-pairing at the 3rd anti-codon position. Lineage: Bacteria; Pseudomonadati; Pseudomonadota. RNAcentral also lists the same sequence under 2 other names. The record is from RNAcentral.
CGGGCCGUGGCGCAGAUGGUAGCGCGCUUCCUUGGGGUGGAAGAGGUCGCCGGUUCAAGUCCGGCCGGCCCGACCA